This 427-nucleotide ribosomal RNA is filed under the name uncultured bacterium. RNAcentral describes it as "partial 16S ribosomal RNA". It matches the Rfam family "Bacterial small subunit ribosomal RNA", at positions 355 to 774 of the family's 1533-position model. The record is from RNAcentral.
UGGGGAAUAUUGCACAAUGGGCGCAAGCCUGAUGCAGCCAUGCCGCGUGUAUGAAGAAGGCCUUCGGGUUGUAAAGUACUUUCAGCGGGGAGGAAGGUGUUGUGGUUAAUAACCUCAGCAAUUGACGUUACCCGCAGAAGAAGCACCGGCUAACUCCGUGCCAGCAGCCGCGGUAAUACGGAGGGUGCAAGCGUUAAUCGGAAUUACUGGGCGUAAAGCGCACGCAGGCGGUCUGUCAAGUCGGAUGGGAAAUCCCCGGGCUCAACCUGGGAACUGCAUCAGAAACUGGCAGGCUUGAGUCUUGUAGAGGGGGGUAGAAUUCCAGGUGUAGCGGUGAAAUGCGUAGAGAUCUGGAGGAAUACCGGUGGCGAAGGCGGCCCCCUGGACAAAGACUGACGCUCAGGUGCGAAAGCGUGGGGAGCAAACA